Molecule: ribosomal RNA, 333 nt
Filed under: uncultured eukaryote
Lineage: Eukaryota
Description: partial 18S ribosomal RNA
Rfam family: Eukaryotic small subunit ribosomal RNA
Source: RNAcentral
CCCUUAGAUGUUCUGGGCUGCACGCGCGCUACACUGAUGCAUCCAACAAGUUUUCUCCCUUGUUCGGUAGGACUGGGUAGUCUUUUGAGUAUGCAUCGUGAUGGGGAUAGAUUAUUGCAAUUAUUAAUCUUCAACGAGGAAUUCCUAGUAAGCGCGAGUCAUCAGCUUGUGUUGAUUACGUCCCUGCCCUUUGUACACACCGCCCGUCGCUACUACCGAUUGAAUGGUUUAGUGAGACCCUCGGAUUCGUCCCAGCACAGUGGGUUUCUGCUGAGCUGGUGCGCGGAGAAGACGGUCGAACUUGAUCAUUUAGAGGAAGUAAAAGUCGUAACA